Cyclopterus lumpus (lumpfish) is the source of this 310-nucleotide non-coding RNA. The record is from Ensembl. NCBI's taxonomy places the organism in Eukaryota, Metazoa, Chordata, Actinopteri, Perciformes, Cyclopteridae.
GUGUGCUUGUGUGAGCGUUUGGUUGAAUGAAUGUGGAGAGUUUGUGUGUGAGUGUGUAUUUCUCUAAAAAUCUACACAGUGAUCUUAUUUGAUCUGGUCGGAGUUUAGCUCCGCUCCGAUCAGAAAUGAUAGGAAAGCGCUCGCGAGCCUCCAUGGCGAUGAGCAGCGGGCGAGAACUUAACAUCGGAGCGGCCACGCUUCAUGUUGUGGUCAGAGGUGAUGAAUUGAUCAGAUAUACUAGUUCUCGGUGUGUUUGGGUUCAUCUCAAGCGUCACUAUGGACAAUGAGUAAAGAGGCGAUUCUGAUCUAA